UACGUAGGCAGCAAGCGUUGUUCGGAGUUACUGGGCGUAAAGGGCGCGUAGGCGGCCACCGCAAGUCGACUGUGAAAUCUCCGGGCUUAACCCGGAAAGGUCAGCCGAUACUGCGGGGCCAGAGUGCAGAAGGGGCAACUGGAAUUCUCGGUGUAGCGGUGAAAUUCGUAGAUAUCGGGAGGAACACCAGUGGCGAAGGCGGCGAUCUGGGAAGAUACUGACGCUGAGGUGCGAAAGCGUGGGGAGCAAACAGG
Molecule: ribosomal RNA, 254 nt
Filed under: uncultured bacterium
Lineage: Bacteria
Description: partial 16S ribosomal RNA
Rfam family: Bacterial small subunit ribosomal RNA
Source: RNAcentral